AGGCUUUGAUCCUGGCUCAGGAUGAACGCUGGCGGUAUGCUUAACACAUGCAAGUCGAACGGUCUCUUCGGAGAUAGUGGCGGACGGGUGAGUAACGCGUGAGAAUCUGCAUUCAGGUCGGGGACAACCACUGGAAACGGUGGCUAAUACCGGAUAUGCCGAGAGGUGAAAGGCUUGCUGCCUGAAAAUGAGCUCGCGUCUGAUUAGCUAGUAGGUGUGGUAAAGGCGCACCUAGGCGACGAUCAGUAGCUGGUCUGAGAGGAUGAUCAGCCACACUGGGACUGAGACACGGCCCAGACUCCUACGGGAGGCAGCAGUGGGGAAUUUUCCGCAAUGGGCGAAAGCCUGACGGAGCAAUACCGCGUGAGGGAGGAAGGCUCUUGGGUUGUAAACCUCUUUUCUCAGGGAAGAAAAAAAUGACGGUACCUGAGGAAUAAGCAUCGGCUAACAUCCGUGC
Molecule: ribosomal RNA, 457 nt
Filed under: uncultured Nodularia sp.
Lineage: Bacteria; Bacillati; Cyanobacteriota; Cyanophyceae; Nostocales; Nodulariaceae
Description: bacterial SSU rRNA
Rfam family: Bacterial small subunit ribosomal RNA
Source: RNAcentral